GAACUUAACUAGUCACAUAAGAAGCAGGGAAUUCGCAAAACCAAGUUCAGACUUAUAGAACCGGAAGCAGAGGAGCAUAACAGCAACAGGAACAGUGGAGAGAAAAACAAUAUUCCUCUUUACAAUUGAGAGAGAGAAAGAAGUCUUCAACUUAGUUCCAGAUGGUCUUCUUCACGAGUUCGCUUGCACAGCCAACUCCAGU
RNAcentral lists this long non-coding RNA (202 nucleotides) under Elaeis guineensis (African oil palm). Its description in RNAcentral is "long non-coding RNA (EGUI_LNC028755)". Lineage: Eukaryota; Viridiplantae; Streptophyta; Magnoliopsida; Arecales; Arecaceae. The record is from RNAcentral.